CCUACGGGUGGCUGCAGUGGGGAAUAUUGGGCAAUGGGCGCAAGCCUGACCCAGCAACGCCGCGUGAAGGAAGAAGGCUUUCGGGUUGUAAACUUCUUUCAAGAGGGAAGAGCAGAAGACGGUACCUCUUGAAUAAGCUACGGCUAACUACGUGACAGCAGCCGCGGUAACACGGAGGUGGCAAGCGUUGUCCGGAUGUACUGGGUGUAAAGGGCGUGUAGCCGGGCUGACAAGUCAGAUGUGAAAUCCCGUGGCUCAACCACGGAACUGCAUUUGAAACUGCCGGUCUUGAGUAUCGGAGAGGCGGGCGGAAUUCCUGGUGUAGCGGUGAAAUGCGUAGAUAUUAGGAGGAACACCAGUGGCGAAGGCGGCCUGCUGGACGACAACUGACGGUGAGGCGCGAAAGCGUGGGGAGCAAACAGGAUUAGAUACCCCGGUAGUC
RNAcentral lists this ribosomal RNA (442 nucleotides) under uncultured bacterium. RNAcentral's name for it is "partial 16S ribosomal RNA". It matches the Rfam family "Bacterial small subunit ribosomal RNA", at positions 338 to 795 of the family's 1533-position model. The record is from RNAcentral.